GUGCCAGCAGCCGCGGUAAUACGUAGGUGGCAAGCGUUGUCCGGAAUUAUUGGGCGUAAAGCGCGCGCAGGCGGUUUCUUAAGUCUGAUGUGAAAGCCCCCGGCUCAACCGGGGAGGGUCAUUGGAAACUGGGAAACUUGAGUGCAGAAGAGGAAGAGUGGAAUUCCACGUGUAGCGGUGAAAAUGCGUAAAGAUGUGGAGGAACACCAGUGGCGAAGGCGACUCUCUGGUCUGUAACUGACGCUGAGGCGCGAAAGCGUGGGGAGCGAACAGGAUUAGAUACCCUGGUAGUCC
RNAcentral lists this ribosomal RNA (294 nucleotides) under uncultured microorganism. Its description in RNAcentral is "partial 16S ribosomal RNA". It matches the Rfam family "Bacterial small subunit ribosomal RNA", at positions 505 to 796 of the family's 1533-position model. The record is from RNAcentral.